CUGACCAGGACGCGCGUGGAGAUGAGCUCGGUCGUACUCUGUCUGGGGAAGAAACGGGAUGCGUGAUAUCAUCCGCUGACGUACCCCAGAGAAAGCUCGCUAUACGUGCAGCAGCGCGGUAAUACGUAAGGAGCAGCGUGUCCGGAUUUACUGGGCGUAAAGAGCUCGUAGCGCCCGAUCAGGUCUCGCGUAAAAUCCCCCGGCUCAACCCGGGGAGAGUCGCGGGAAACCGACCGGCUUGAGGACAGAAAAGGAAAGUGGAAUUCCCGGUGUAGCGGUGAAAUGCGUAGAUAUCGGGAGGAAUACCAGUGGUGAAGACGGCUUUCUGGUCUGUUUCUGACGCUGAGGAGCGAAAGCCAGGGGAGCGAACCGGAUUAGAUACCCGGGUAGUCCUGGCCGUAAACGAUGGAUACUAGGUGUGGGAGGUUCGACCCCUUCCGUGCCGCAGCUAACGCAUUAAGUAUCCCGCCUGGGGAGUACGGCCGCAAGGUUGAAACUCAAAGGAAUUGACGGGGGCCCGCACAAGCGGUGGAGCAUGUGGUUUAAUUCGAUGCAACGCGAAGAACCUUACCAGGGUUUGACAUGCUGGUGGUAGAAGCCCGAAAGGGUGACGACCUUCGGUUUUCCGAGGGAGCCAGCACAGGUGCUGCAUGGUUGUCGUCAGCUCGUGUCGUGAGAUGUUGGGUUAAGUCCCGCAACGAGCGCAACCCUUACCCUUAGUUGCGACCAGGUUAUGCUUGAGCACUCUAAGGGGACUGCCGGUGACAAACCGGAGGAAGGUGGGGAUGACGUCAAAUCCGCAUGGCCCUUAUGUCCUGGGCGACACACGUGCUACAAUGGCCAGUACAGAGGGUUGCGAACCCGCGAGGGGGAGCCAAUCCCAAAAAGCUGGCCCCAGUUGGGAUUGCAGGCUGCAACUCGCCUGCAUGAACGCGGAAUCGCUAGUAAUCGCGUAUCAGCUACGGCGCGGUGAAUGCGUUCCCGGGCCUUGUACACACCGCCCGUCACACCACGAAAGUCGAUUUUACCUGAAGUCACUGAGCUAACCCGCAAGGGAGGCAGGUGCCGAAGGUAGGGU
RNAcentral lists this ribosomal RNA (1078 nucleotides) under Atribacteraceae bacterium. RNAcentral's name for it is "bacterial SSU rRNA". It matches the Rfam family "Bacterial small subunit ribosomal RNA", at positions 388 to 1468 of the family's 1533-position model. Lineage: Bacteria; Pseudomonadati; Atribacterota; Atribacteria; Atribacterales; Atribacteraceae. The record is from RNAcentral.